This 228-nucleotide ribosomal RNA is filed under the name uncultured bacterium. Its description in RNAcentral is "partial 16S ribosomal RNA". It matches the Rfam family "Bacterial small subunit ribosomal RNA", at positions 15 to 240 of the family's 1533-position model. The record is from RNAcentral.
GAUAUGGCUCAGGAUGAACGCUAGCGACAGGCUUAACACAUGCAAGUCGAGGGGCAUCAUGAGGUAGCAAUACCUUGAUGGCGACCGGCGCACGGGUGAGUAACGCGUAUGCAACCUGCCUGAUACCGGGGUAUAGCCCAUGGAAACGUGGAUUAACACCCCAUAGUACUUUUAUCCUGCAUGGGAUGUGAGUUAAAUGUUCAAGGUAUCGGAUGGGCAUGCGUCCUA